This 497-nucleotide ribosomal RNA is filed under the name uncultured bacterium. Its description in RNAcentral is "partial 16S ribosomal RNA". It matches the Rfam family "Bacterial small subunit ribosomal RNA", at positions 28 to 507 of the family's 1533-position model. The record is from RNAcentral.
GAUGAACGCUGGCGGCGUGCCUAAUACAUGCAAGUCGAGCGAACAGACGAGGAGCUUGCUCCUCUGACGUUAGCGGCGGACGGGUGAGUAACACGUGGAUAACCUACCUAUAAGACUGGGAUAACUUCGGGAAACCGGAGCUAAUACCGGAUAAUAUAUUGAACCGCAUGGUUCAAUAGUGAAAGACGGUUUUGCUGUCACUUAUAGAUGGAUCCGCGCCGCAUUAGCUAGUUGGUAAGGUAACGGCUUACCAAGGCGACGAUGCGUAGCCGACCUGAGAGGAUGAUCGGCGACACUGGAACUGAGACACGGUCCAGACUCCUACGGGAGGCAGCAGUAGGGAAUCUUCCGCAAUGGGCGAAAGCCUGACGGAGCAACGCCGCGUGAGUGAUGAAGGUCUUCGGAUCGUAAAACUCUGUUAUUAGGGAAGAACAAAUGUGUAAGUAACUAUGCACGUCUUGACGGUACCUAAUCAGAAAGCCACGGCUAACUACGUG